RNAcentral lists this ribosomal RNA (576 nucleotides) under Klebsiella sp. HPC68. Its description in RNAcentral is "bacterial SSU rRNA". It matches the Rfam family "Bacterial small subunit ribosomal RNA", at positions 28 to 595 of the family's 1533-position model. Lineage: Bacteria; Pseudomonadati; Pseudomonadota; Gammaproteobacteria; Enterobacterales; Enterobacteriaceae. The record is from RNAcentral.
AUUGAACGCUGGCGGCAGGCUUAACACAUGCAAGUCGAGCGGUAGCACAGAGAGCUUGCUCUCGGGUGACGAGCGGCGGACGGGUGAGUAAUGUCUGGGAAACUGCCUGAUGGAGGGGGAUAACUACUGGAAACGGUAGCUAAUACCGCAUAAUGUCGCAAGACCAAAGUGGGGGACCUUCGGGCCUCAUGCCAUCAGAUGUGCCCAGAUGGGAUUAGCUAGUAGGUGGGGUAACGGCUCACCUAGGCGACGAUCCCUAGCUGGUCUGAGAGGAUGACCAGCCACACUGGAACUGAGACACGGUCCAGACUCCUACGGGAGGCAGCAGUGGGGAAUAUUGCACAAUGGGCGCAAGCCUGAUGCAGCCAUGCCGCGUGUGUGAAGAAGGCCUUCGGGUUGUAAAGCACUUUCAGCGGGGAGGAAGGCGGUGAGGUUAAUAACCUUGUCGAUUGACGUUACCCGCAGAAGAAGCACCGGCUAACUCCGUGCCAGCAGCCGCGGUAAUACGGAGGGUGCAAGCGUUAAUCGGAAUUACUGGGCGUAAAGCGCACGCAGGCGGUCUGUCAAGUCGGAUGU